UAUUCUUCCUAUGCGGGAAGGAUGAGAAGCUUCGACCAAGGUUCGAUUCGAGCGUUAGCGAGAAAGCGUUGCCGCAGGCAACGACCCGAAGGGCGAAGCGCGCAGCGCUGAGUAAUCCUUCCCCCACCACCA
This 132-nucleotide small RNA is filed under the name Citrobacter freundii. RNAcentral describes it as "RtT sRNA". It matches the Rfam family "RtT RNA". Rfam says of the family: This family represents a bacterial cis-regulatory element known as RtT RNA. The exact function of RtT is unknown although it is thought that it may be involved in changing the cellular response in relation to amino acid starvation. Lineage: Bacteria; Pseudomonadati; Pseudomonadota; Gammaproteobacteria; Enterobacterales; Enterobacteriaceae. RNAcentral also lists the same sequence under 1 other name. The record is from RNAcentral.